AUUAGAGGUCUGACUCCUUUUCGGGACUCGGUUCUUUUGAGUGAGCCGAAGCAAAAUCGAAUUUAGUCAUUCAUUAACCGAUUUAUAAAGCCGUCAUACAAUUUAAUUUGAAAACCUAUUAAGUAUUAUGCUUUUUGUUUUCUCCAAAGUAUUGCUUGUCAUUAGCAGUUAGCGUACAAACCAAAUAUGAGCGCUUCUUACAGUUAUUGUGUUGUCUUGCAGUAUGUUGAAAAUAAAGCAGAUGACAAUGACUGGUUCCGUCUAGAGUCCAACAAAGAGGCCACAUGUCCACAGUAUUUGCCUCCAUCCUAAUGUCCAGAUUCCAGUCACAUAUCCUGCCACAGCACUUGAAAAGUGGCCAUUCCUGAGUAAGAUGGGAAGUCAGCCAAGAUGUACAGGUUUGAGCCUUAUGUGAAUAAUUUAGAAUUUCAUCACAAUUAAAUUUUUAGUUAAAAUAAAAACAAAUGUACCUCAAUCGUUCCAAAAAAACCAUCUUUUGUUUCAAAGGUGGUAAAAUCUGCCUGACAGAUCACUUCAAGCCACUGUGGGCAAGGAAUGUCCCAAAGUUUGGUCUGGCUCAUCUUAUGGCUUUUGGGACUUGGACCAUGGCUUGCAGUUGAGAUUCCAGACCUCAUUGCGAAAGGCAUAAUUGAACAUAAAGACCAGCAAAACAGCUGAAACAGUAGCAGCCUGUUUCAAUGGGAUAUGUAUGUUUUUUAUCAGUAAAGCUUGGUUCAUAAAUGUGGGACCAUUUUAUUGAAAUGGGUAAACAUAAGAAUUUAAAAUUGUUCGAAAGUAUUUAAAAAAAUUAUUUAUUUUCUCAGCUGGAAAAGUUUCUUUAACAGCUUUUCUUAAAAUAUGGAUAUAGGAAAAUGUAUAAUGAAAUAAUUUGUAUUUGUAAAUUAAUUAGAUUUUUUUUUAUAAAUAACUAUAAUAACUCUGUAAUUAAAUAAUGUUAUAUUAUUUUUAUCAUGUAUCUGUACUUAAGUUUUUGUUUAAAAAAAAAUAUUACAGAUGUUCGUAAAGGCAUUUAAAAACAUUGAGGCCAAUAAUAAUCUUAUUAUAAUAAUCUAAUUAUUUCAAGAAUCUGGUCACUCCAUCUCCCAAGAUGAAUGCUGGAAUAUAUUAUGAAAUCAAAUCGGUUUUGUUCUUGGUGUGAACAGAAGUAAAUCAUAGUAAUUAAUAGUCACUGACAGUAAGAAAGUAGGCUAACAUUAUGCCAUUAUAAAAUAUGCCUAUAAAAAGCAACUAGCCAUA
Carassius auratus (goldfish) is the source of this 1257-nucleotide long non-coding RNA. RefSeq lists it as uncharacterized. Lineage: Eukaryota; Metazoa; Chordata; Actinopteri; Cypriniformes; Cyprinidae. The record is from RefSeq and is a predicted model, not a curated record. The transcript has 3 exons.